GAGAUACCCCUCUGGGGCAAGACUUGCUUCAGUGGGGCUUUGGUGCUCACUGAAUCUGCCCCCUGAGUGUGUCCUU
This 76-nucleotide microRNA precursor is filed under the name Myotis lucifugus (little brown bat). Its description in RNAcentral is "mir-9229 microRNA precursor family". It matches the Rfam family "mir-9229 microRNA precursor family". The record is from Rfam by way of RNAcentral. Lineage: Eukaryota; Metazoa; Chordata; Mammalia; Chiroptera; Vespertilionidae.